Molecule: ribosomal RNA, 253 nt
Filed under: uncultured bacterium
Lineage: Bacteria
Description: partial 16S ribosomal RNA
Rfam family: Bacterial small subunit ribosomal RNA
Source: RNAcentral
UACGGGGGGGGCAAGCGUUGUUCGGAAUUACUGGGCGUAAAGGGCUCGUAGGCGGCCAACUAAGUCAGACGUGAAAUCCCUCGGCUUAACCGGGGAACUGCGUCUGAUACUGGAUGGCUUGAGUUCGGGAGAGGGAUGCGGAAUUCCAGGUGUAGCGGUGAAAUGCGUAGAUAUCUGGAGGAACACCGGUGGCGAAGGCGACUCUUUGGCCUGUAACUGACGCUGAGGCGCGAAAGCGUGGGGAGCAAACAGG